RNAcentral lists this long non-coding RNA (537 nucleotides) under Zostera marina. RNAcentral describes it as "long non-coding RNA (ZMAR_LNC005542)". The record is from RNAcentral. Lineage: Eukaryota; Viridiplantae; Streptophyta; Magnoliopsida; Alismatales; Zosteraceae.
UGUAAACAACUGUUGACUGGAUUAAAAUUAAUAAAAACAAAAUCCAUGGACUGGAAAUUAAAAGAAGAAUAUGAUAAUUGAUAGAGGGUGGUAUGAAUGAUAAUGUCCGAACCGAGUUAGACGGUAUGGAACGAUCGACAGAGGAACGGAUAUUAACGGAAUGACGAGAGGAGUUAUUCGUCGGAGUUAAACUACCGCUCUUUAUCUGAUCGGAUGACCCCGUAUUCCUACUACCACUGCUUGAUCUGGAGGACAUUCUAGGCGUGACCGGUGUGCCUAUCUUUUUCUUCUUCGGGGUUUCGAAGAGCCCGGUUCUGUUGAUCGACAAUUCCGGUAAACACAACAAGAGAAAAAAACGAUUAACUAAUUAAUUAUCGGAGAUCUAAAGCUGGAAUUUUGGUGAUCAUUCGUGUAAAACAGAAAACAGAUUGAUGCAAGAAGAAGAAAAAAUAGAAGAUAAGAUCUGGGACCUGGUUUGGCUGGUUGACAUCGUAAAAGCUUCCGUAUGGGGAGAGAUCUGGCUGAAUCGAAAAUGAG